AAGCCUGACGCAGCAACGCCGCGUGAGUGAUGAAGGCUUUCGGGUCGUAAAGCUCUGUCAAUGGGAAAGAAGUGUAUUUUGGCUAAUAUCCUUAAUACUUGACGGUACCCAUAAAGGAAGCACCGGCUAACUCCGUGCCAGCAGCCGCGGUAAUA
This 155-nucleotide ribosomal RNA is filed under the name uncultured bacterium. Its description in RNAcentral is "partial 16S ribosomal RNA". It matches the Rfam family "Bacterial small subunit ribosomal RNA", at positions 379 to 525 of the family's 1533-position model. The record is from RNAcentral.